RNAcentral lists this long non-coding RNA (2792 nucleotides) under Salmo salar (Atlantic salmon). Its description in RNAcentral is "lncRNA (ENSSSAG00000085354.1)". Lineage: Eukaryota; Metazoa; Chordata; Actinopteri; Salmoniformes; Salmonidae. The record is from RNAcentral.
GGGAAAGCAUGAGCAAGAGCUUUGAUAGCGGGGAACAGACAGAGACAGACAGUUGAGUGGUGGAUUUUGGUCAAAGGUAAUCUAGGAGAGACGACGAGGAGAGGGAACGUGGACGAAAAUGCCCUUGUACGAAAUGAGACUGUCCUCCACUCGCACAUCAUCAGGAAAAUUAGGUUUACUGGGGUGGAUCCCAAAAUAAAUGUGUAAAGUGAUAAAAACAAAUAAACAGAAGAUGGCAGAGGAUAAAACGGUUGGAGAGGAAAGGCGACAGAGGAGGGAGAAAACCUGGGAAGAGAUGUAUCUGGAGAAGGCGCAGAAUAGGGUGCAGAACGAGAACAAGAAGUGGGAGCCGGCUGUGGCUGUGCCCAUGUCCAGGUUCAUUGUCUGCAAGGGAAGGUCUCAGGCCGACCUCACAUCUGACUGUUGUCUCCAGACCCAGAAUGACCCAGCUCUAGAGUCCGACCAAAAUUCCGAGCCCAGCCAAGCUCCAGAGGUCACGAUGGCUGCUGCCGACGCCCAAUGUUAGGUACUGGACAUUGAGUUUGAUGAGAGAGAACGUGUAGAUGUAGAUGUGGUUUACAGGGGACGGAUCAUUCCCCUUGAAGAGCUCCGAGAGGCUAAGCAGCGGCUCCUCCAGGAGGCUGGGGACACUGAAUUCCAGGCCGAGGCCAAAUCCAACAAAACUCAAUGCAGGAACUACAUUGACCAGCUGAAGAGGAACUCAAAGCCCUUCCUAGUGAUAGAGGAGGAGGAGAAAGAGUCCAGUGGCAGCGAGAGCUCCAGCCUCAGUGGUGAGACUAAGAAGAUGGAGGCAUGUGCCAAUGAGGAGGGGAAGGACCUCAGAGAGGAGGAAGGAAGUGAACAGCCCAAAAAGGAGAAGGGCAAUGAAGGAAGGUGAUUCGCUGGCUGAACGGAAAGGUUAAAGACCGCUACCAGAAGAGGAAGGAGCAAACCGACUACAACGAGGAGCAGAAUGGGGUACUAAGGGGCGUAUGACAUCACCCACACAGAGCAGGAGCAAAUUAACCGGGCAAAGCUGCUGAAGGCUGAACAGAAGAGGCAGACGCUGGAGGACCGCUGGACAGGGUGGGAGAAGGAGAGGGCUUAGAAGAAAGAGGCCAGGAAGCUCGAAAAGAGGGAGAAGGCAGGUUCCAAUUCUAGAGACAACAUCAGCACAUUGAAAAUGGCCAGGCUUAUGGUGUGCUUGGAGACUCUUAUGGAAUUCAAGUCCAGGCCACCUCCCCCACCACAUGACCUUUAAUUUAUUUCCUUGUUUGUGUCUCCUCUACUAUCUUCUUCUUAUUACUUAGUAGUAGUAGUACUUCUAACUAUGGUUUCUAAGAAUUAUUGCUAAUUUGUGGCUAAUGAAAGUCAAUAUAGCUAAUUGUAUUGUUUCUUUGUCUCUUUGAGAAGCCAAUUAACCAGACCUAUUAAUAUUGUCUCUACAUGUCACAUCUUACGGUAGAGUAGCAUACAAUCAAUUGCCAAAUUGACUUCAUGGUAGGGAAGUAAUUAUGCGUUUUAAAUGCCAGGCUUUUGGUUGUCUGCUACUUAUGUCCUUUUUCAUAAUCAUAGGGCCUUGGCGCCACAAUGUGGCUUACACUACCCAGUGAACAACACCAUUAUAAGCCAAAGUGCAUCUACAUUAAUUUACCGACGGGCGUCGCUGCGAGAACGCAAGUGGAAAAUAAGAAAAAGGUUGCAGACCGUCAUGUCCCAAAACCACCCCUAUUCAUGCACUCGUAGAUAAAGAAAUGGGUGACUGUGAACUAAUUGUCUUGGGACUGGGCAGUGGGCACAGGAUUUGCAUUAUCUUGGCUUCGUGGUUGCACGAGAUUGGUGACAAUAAGGGAUCACCGUCUUUUACCCAUGUCACUCACCUGUGGAGUUCAAAAUCAUUUUCAAUAAUAACAAGACAUAACAUGCUAAUCGAUAAUAAACCAUUAAAAUGUACCUACUGAUCGCAACUGUAAUUUUGUCUCGUGUUGAACUUAAUUUUGAAGCAUUUAACAUUUUAGUCGUUUAGCGGACGCUGUUAUCCAGAGCGACUUACAGUAGUUAUGUAAGUAUCUUGUUACCUGCGCUGGUGGACAAAGGACAAUUCAGUGUCGAACAAGAAUGUCGCACAUCAAGGCCACGUCUUUAUCUUUUUUUUCUUUACAGCCCUUUGGAAUGGAUUAUGGGUGAAACUUGUUAUCAGGCUUGUAGGCAGUAUGUGUUAUAGGGCUAGGCCUAGUACAUUCUAGGAAUGUGAAAUGGAAUUUGCAGAGGAGGGAUGAUAGCUCUAAGUCAAUAGAACAACGCUGAAGUCAAUUGUGUGUGGGAGAUAGGUUGUCUAGAAUGCACAAUAAUGUGAUGGGUUAUCUGAUCAAGUGUUGCAAUUUCUAAUCUAUUUUUACUGUUAUUAUAGGGUGUAUCAAAUGCCAAGGCCAGAAAGAGCAACCUACUAGGUAAAAAGAAGCCUAGACAUCCGGAUACUUUUUUUUGUAACGGCUCUUCACUGAGUCAUUUGUGGAUUGGCAGACUUGGAGGUGACUUCGAUACACUGUGGGUACGGAGCAUCUUCUUGACUUUCCAGAAGCAACAAAGUGUCAUAAAAAAAAUUGUUCAGACCAAAAAAACCUGACCAUGGGUAUGGUGUUUUUCAUCUAAGGGAGUCCAAAACAUUUUGGCGCAGAUGAAUCACUUUAAGGCAAUCCGUGUCGUUUCUGAAAGAAAUGUAACACUGGGUAGGUUGAGCAGCCACUCACAGCAGAUAGGCCUAGUCGUUGUUUAACCCGCCUCCAAACUAC